This 253-nucleotide ribosomal RNA is filed under the name uncultured bacterium. Its description in RNAcentral is "partial 16S ribosomal RNA". It matches the Rfam family "Bacterial small subunit ribosomal RNA", at positions 524 to 776 of the family's 1533-position model. The record is from RNAcentral.
UACAGAGGGGGCAAGCGUUAUUCGGAAUUAUUGGGCGUAAAGGGCGCGUAGGCGGCUUUUCAAGUGACGGGUGAAAUCCCCGGGCUCAACCCGGGAACCGCGUCCGAGACUGGCAGGCUCGAAUCCGGGAGAGGGAUGUGGAAUUCCAGGUGUAGCGGUGAAAUGCGUAGAUAUCUGGAGGAACACCGGUGGCGAAGGCGGCAUCCUGGACCGGUAUUGACGCUGAGGCGCGAAAGCCAGGGGAGCAAACGGG